GAUGAACGCUGGCGGCGUGCCUAAUACAUGCAAGUCGAGCGAACAGAUGAGGAGCUUGCUCCUCUGACGUUAGCGGCGGACGGGUGAGUAACACGUGGAUAACCUACCUAUAAGACUGGGAUAACUUCGGGAAACCGGAGCUAAUACCGGAUAAUAUAUUGAACCGCAUGGUUCAAUAGUGAAAGACGGUUUUGCUGUCACUUAUAGAUGGAUCCGCGCCGCAUUAGCUAGUUGGUAAGGUAACGGCUUACCAAGGCAACGAUGCGUAGCCGACCUGAGAGGGUGGUCGGCCACACUGGAACUGAGACACCGUCCAGACUCCUACGGGAGGCAGCAGUAGGGAAUCUUCCGCAAUGGGCGAAAGCCUGACGGAGCAACGCCGCGUGAGUUAUGAAGGUCUUCGGAUCGUAAAACUCUGUUAUUAGGGAAGAACAAAUGUGUAAGUAACUAUGCACGUCUUGACGGUACCUAAUCAGAAAGCCCCGGCUAACUACGUG
RNAcentral lists this ribosomal RNA (497 nucleotides) under uncultured bacterium. RNAcentral's name for it is "partial 16S ribosomal RNA". It matches the Rfam family "Bacterial small subunit ribosomal RNA", at positions 28 to 507 of the family's 1533-position model. The record is from RNAcentral.